AGCAGCCAUCAUUUAAAGAAAGCGUAAUAGCUCACUGGUCGAGUCGGCCUGCGCGGAAGAUGUAACGGGGCUAAACCAUGCACCGAAGCUGCGGCAGCGACACUGUGUGUUGUUGGGUAGGGGAGCGUUCUGUAAGCCUGUGAAGGUGUGCUGUGAGGCAUGCUGGAGGUAUCAGAAGUGCGAAUGCUGACAUAAGUAACGAUAAAGCGGGUGAAAAGCCCGCUCGCCGGAAGACCAAGGGUUCCUGUCCAACGUUAAUCGGGGCAGGGUGAGUCGACCCCUAAGGCGAGGCCGAAAGGCGUAGUCGAUGGGAAACAGGUUAAUAUUCCUGUACUUGGUGUUACUGCGAAGGGGGGACGGAGAAGGCUAUGUUGGCCGGGCGACGGUUGUCCCGGUUUAAGCGUGUAGGCUGGUUUUCCAGGCAAAUCCGGAAAAUCAAGGCUGAGGCGUGAUGACGAGGCACUACGGUGCUGAAGCAACAAAUGCCCUGCUUCCAGGAAAAGCCUCUAAGCAUCAGGUAACAUCAAAUCGUACCCCAAACCGACACAGGUGGUCAGGUAGAGAAUACCAAGGCGCUUGAGAGAACUCGGGUGAAGGAACUAGGCAAAAUGGUGCCGUAACUUCGGGAGAAGGCACGCUGAUAUGUAGGUGAAGUCCCUCGCGGAUGGAGCUGAAAUCAGUCGAAGAUACCAGCUGGCUGCAACUGUUUAUUAAAAACACAGCACUGUGCAAACACGAAAGUGGACGUAUACGGUGUGACGCCUGCCCGGUGCCGGAAGGUUAAUUGAUGGGGUCAGCGCAAGCGAAGCUCUUGAUCGAAGCCCCGGUAAACGGCGGCCGUAACUAUAACGGUCCUAAGGUAGCGAAAUUCCUUGUCGGGUAAGUUCCGACCUGCACGAAUGGCGUAAUGAUGGCCAGGCUGUCUCCACCCGAGACUCAGUGAAAUUGAACUCGCUGUGAAGAUGCAGUGUACCCGCGGCAAGACGGAAAGACCCCGUGAACCUUUACUAUAGCUUGACACUGAACAUUGAGCCUUGAUGUGUAGGAUAGGUGGGAGGCUUUGAAGUGUGGACGCCAGUCUGCAUGGAGCCGACCUUGAAAUACCACCCUUUAAUGUUUGAUGUUCUAACGUGGACCCGUGAUCCGGGUUGCGGACAGUGUCUGGUGGGUAGUUUGACUGGGGCGGUCUCCUCCUAAAGAGUAACGGAGGAGCACGAAGGUUGGCUAAUCCUGGUCGGACAUCAGGAGGUUAGUGCAAUGGCAUAAGCCAGCUUGACUGCGAGCGUGACGGCGCGAGCAGGUGCGAAAGCAGGUCAUAGUGAUCCGGUGGUUCUGAAUGGAAGGGCCAUCGCUCAACGGAUAAAAGGUACUCCGGGGAUAACAGGCUGAUACCGCCCAAGAGUUCAUAUCGACGGCGGUGUUUGGCACCUCGAUGUCGGCUCAUCACAUCCUGGGGCUGAAGUAGGUCCCAAGGGUAUGGCUGUUCGCCAUUUAAAGUGGUACGCGAGCUGGGUUUAGAACGUCGUGAGACAGUUCGGUCCCUAUCUGCCGUGGGCGCUGGAGAACUGAGGGGGGCUGCUCCUAGUACGAGAGGACCGGAGUGGACGCAUCACUGGUGUUCGGGUUGUCAUGCCAAUGGCACUGCCCGGUAGCUAAAUGCGGAAGAGAUAAGUGCUGAAAGCAUCUAAGCACGAAACUUGCCCCGAGAUGAGUUCUCCCUGACCCUUUAAGGGUCCUGAAGGAACGUUGAAGACGACGACGUUGAUAGGCCGGGUGUGUAAGCGCAGCGAUGCGUUGAGCUAACCGGUACUAAUGAACCGUGAGGCUUAACCUUACAACGCCGAAGGUGUUU
RNAcentral lists this ribosomal RNA (1852 nucleotides) under Escherichia coli. RNAcentral describes it as "partial 23S ribosomal RNA". It matches the Rfam family "Bacterial large subunit ribosomal RNA", at positions 1111 to 2925 of the family's 2925-position model. Lineage: Bacteria; Pseudomonadati; Pseudomonadota; Gammaproteobacteria; Enterobacterales; Enterobacteriaceae. The record is from RNAcentral.